RNAcentral lists this ribosomal RNA (484 nucleotides) under uncultured bacterium. RNAcentral's name for it is "partial 16S ribosomal RNA". It matches the Rfam family "Bacterial small subunit ribosomal RNA", at positions 29 to 507 of the family's 1533-position model. The record is from RNAcentral.
AUUGAACGCUGGCGGCAUGCUUUACACAUGCAAGUCGAACGGCAGCGCGGGCUUCGGCCUGGCGGCGAGUGGCGAACGGGUGAGUAAUGCAUCGGAACGCGCCCAGUAGUGGGGGAUAGCCCGGCGAAAGCCGGAUUAAUACCGCAUACGACCUGAGGGUGAAAGCGGGGGACCGAAAGGCCUCGCGCUAUUGGAGCGGCCGAUGUCGGAUUAGCUAGUUGGUGGGGUAAAGGCUUACCAAGGCGACGAUCCGUAGCUGGUCUGAGAGGACGACCAGCCAACGUGGGACUGAGAGCCAGCACGGACGCCUACGGGAGGCAGCAGGGGGGAGUUUGGGAAAAUGGGGGCAACUCCGAUACAGCCAUGCGGCGGGCGGGAAGAACGCCUGCGGGUUGGAAACGGGUUUUGUGCGGGAAGAAAUCAUCUGGGCGAGUACACCGGGGGGAUGACGGGACCGGAAGAAUAAGCAACGGCUAACGACGUG